UGCGUAGGCGGGCUGAUAAGUCAGUGGUGAAAUCUUCCGGCUCAACCGGGAACCUGCCAUUGAUACUGUUAGUCUUGAGUUCGGCUGAGGUAGGCGGAAUGUGUAAUGUAGCGGUGAAAUGCUUAGAUAUUACACAGAACACCAAUUGCGUAGGCAGCUUACUAGACCGACACUGACGCUGAGGCACGAAAGCGUGGGGAGCGAACAGGAUUAGAUACCCUGGUAGUCC
This 229-nucleotide ribosomal RNA is filed under the name uncultured bacterium. RNAcentral's name for it is "partial 16S ribosomal RNA". It matches the Rfam family "Bacterial small subunit ribosomal RNA", at positions 568 to 796 of the family's 1533-position model. The record is from RNAcentral.